GGUCUUGUAGCUCAGUUGGUUAGAGCGCAUGCUUCACAUGCAUGAGGUCCUGGGUUCGAGCCCCAGCAAGACCACCA
RNAcentral lists this transfer RNA (77 nucleotides) under Candidatus Scatosoma pullicola. Its description in RNAcentral is "tRNA-Val". It matches the Rfam family "tRNA". Rfam says of the family: Transfer RNA (tRNA) molecules are approximately 80 nucleotides in length. Lineage: Bacteria; Bacillati; Bacillota; Clostridia. The record is from RNAcentral.